This 301-nucleotide ribosomal RNA is filed under the name uncultured bacterium. RNAcentral's name for it is "partial 16S ribosomal RNA". It matches the Rfam family "Bacterial small subunit ribosomal RNA", at positions 509 to 809 of the family's 1533-position model. The record is from RNAcentral.
CAGUAGCCACGGGAAUACGAAGGGUGCAAGCGUUAAUCGGAAUUACUGGGCGUAAAGCGUGCGUAGGCGGUUUGUUAAGUCUGUUGUGAAAUCCCCGGGCUCAACCUGGGAAUGGCAAUGGAUACUGGCAAGCUAGAGCGUGUCAGAGGAUGGUGGAAUUCCCGGUGUAGCGGUGAAAUGCGUAGAGAUCGGGAGGAACAUCAGUGGCGAAGGCGGCCAUCUGGGACAACACUGACGCUGAGGCACGAAAGCGUGGGGAGCAAACAGGAUUAGAUACCCCCGUAGUCCCUGUCUCUUAUCC